RNA transcript from Mytilus trossulus (common blue mussel), 3128 nucleotides. It is a transcript of the gene named phosphatidylinositol 4-phosphate 5-kinase type-1 alpha-like, with no coding region annotated. The record is from RefSeq and is a predicted model, not a curated record. The transcript has 20 exons. Lineage: Eukaryota; Metazoa; Mollusca; Bivalvia; Mytilida; Mytilidae.
UGUGCGCAUGCGGUUUGGAUACUUCCGGAAUUAUCACCCCAUAAUCUAGAUGACAGAAAGAUGGAAUUUUAUGAAUUUUACGCCGCUUUUUGCAUAGUAGUCGAUUGAAUGGUCCUGAGACAAUUAAACACUCUCACAAUGGCUUAAAGAAACAGUGAUUUAGCUUUAAUCAACCAAAAAAUAUACAAGAAAUCGAUCGAAUACACGGAAGAUGGCGACUAGUGUCGACCAAAACGUCCCCACACAUAAUGAUCAACCUGUCUUACAAAAUAUUCAAAAAGAAGGUACAUUGCCCAGAGAAAUAUAUAAACAAUCACCAUUAGAGCCCCAGACAAACCAAAACAUGGCUACAGAUACACUGAGGCCGUCAAGUAGUAUACAUGCUGGUAAAGACAGAGAAAAGAAGAUUGGUCACAGAAGAGUGGACCAUCACACAGGAAUGGUCACUUAUAAAAAGAAACCUACGUCCGAGUUAAUGGCUGCCAUACAGUUGGGUAUUGGACAGAGCGUGGGAGGUUUGUCAUCUAAGCCAGAGAGGGACGUUCUCAUGCAGGACUUUGCUGUUGUAGAAAGUGUCUUCUUUCCUUCAGAAGGCAGUAAUUUGACCCCAGCUCAUCAUCUGAGUGAUUUUCGAUUCAAAACAUACGCACCAAUUGCAUUUCGUUAUUUUCGUGAAUUGUUUGGAAUCCAGCCAGAUGAUUUUUUGUUAUCGUGUUGUGAUGAAGCUCUGAAGGAGUUAUCUAACCCUGGUGCCAGUGGAAGCAUUUUUUACCUGACAAAUGAUGAUGAAUUUAUUAUAAAGACAGUACAGCAUAAAGAAGCUGACUUCUUACAGAAACUUUUACCAGGCUAUUAUAUGAAUUUAAACCAGAAUCCUUGUACAUUGUUACCCAAGUUUUAUGGUCUAUACUGUUACCAGUGUGGUGGUAAAAACAUUCGAUUCGUUGUGAUGAACAAUUUACUUCCAACAACAGUGAAAAUGUCUGAAAAAUAUGAUUUAAAAGGAAGUACUUAUAAACGAAAAGCAUCCAAACACGAGCGUGAAAAAUCAGUUCCUGUGUACAAAGACUUAGACUUUAUAAAUAUACAUGCCGAUGGGAUAUAUCUGGAAAAGGACAAACAGGAACCUCUAAUGAAGACCCUUAUAAGGGACUGUCGGGUACUUGAAAGCUUUAAAAUAAUGGAUUAUAGUUUGUUAGUGGGUAUAUAUAACUUAGAUCAAGCUGAGAGAGAAAAGGGAAGAACACGAGAAGAUUCCGGGGCAGAUCAUACAGACAUUCCAACAUUAGACGGUCCGUCUCCAGAGGCAGAUUCUUCAGGUGCUAAACCCAUAAAUAAAACAGACUCCAAUGGAGAGAGUACCUCAUUAACAAGAACUAAGUCAAUGAAGACAAGGCUGGCAAAUUAUUCCACAGCUAUAGAAUCUAUACAGGCCAGAAAUGUAGAUGAUGAUGAUGAGGAGGACGAAGAUACACCGCCUGGUGGUAUUCCUGCAAAAAAUGCAAAAGGAGAAAGGUUGUUAAUAUUCCUUGGUAUAAUAGAUAUAUUACAGAGUUACCGACUGAAGAAAAAACUUGAACAUACCAUGAAAUCUAUAGUUAUAGAUGGGGAUUCUAUAUCUGUACAUAGACCUAGUUUUUACUGUCAAAGAUUCCAGGAUUUCAUGUCCAAAAGAGUUUUCAAGAAACUACAAACUCCCAUUAAGCAUUCUCCUUCCAAAAGAAAACCUACAUAUCCAAGAAGACAUGGGAAUUCUGAAGGAGAAGGUGAAACCUCAAAAUAUAGGGCAUAUAGUUACUCAGAGGAAAGUCAACCUGUCUCAGGAGCCACAGGAAGACGCCCAGAUUUAGUCCCAGAAAACUCAACUCCUCCUCCUACAUUUGCAGAGGCCCUUGACAGAGGGCCAUCACCACAACAACAAAACAGGUCACCUAACGCAUCAAGAGUUUUAUAUACAGGAAGAACUAUUUCUUCUGAAUCUGAAAACAAGCGGCUAGAUUAUUCCAGUAGUGGUAAAUUUACGGUAACAUAUCAGGAGACCCCACAGAUACCAGCGUCACCUAAUCUCAGUCUGUCAGAGUCCACGCCCACUCAUACAGAUUUUACAGAGGGUACGCCCAGUUACACGCCUUCUACACCCAGUUGUUACAGUGAAAUAGAACAAAGUUUCCAAGCUGAGCUGGACUCUGAAGCUCCAUCAUCUCAAUCUUUAUCUCCCAUUAAAUCUGUGAACAAUACAAUGAUAAGUAGUACAGAGACAUCAUAUGCCUCUGCGUUAGAAUCACAGGGACCAGAAAACCAGGAACUCAACGGUGAACUGGAUACUAAAAGUGAGGACACAACGUUAACAAACCAGGGGGGAAAUGUGAGAAACCCAACUGAAAAUCCAAGUCAGAUUGAGGAGGAGGAGGAAGAAGAAAUGCUGUAGUGAGGUAACUUUAGCUUCAUUGGUUGUGGGUAAAAAUGAUAUUACAACUAGCUGUUGACAUGACACAUUUGUAGCAUAAGGAAAACUUCCAGAUGUAAAAACUGUGAUUGAAAUAUUCCCAUGAUGCAAUACAAUAGACUCAUCCAUUGAUCAUCCACUUCCUGUUAUCCCAUAAUUCAUCUCUGAAUAGAACAUCCCAAGAAGGAACAAAUUUAUUAUUAUUUAUUUAUUUUUACUGUCAGUAAUACUGGUAUUUUAGAUCAAUUUUAUGUCAUUUAUUUAUUUUAAAUACGAUCAUUGUCUUACUGUGUGAUACAUAAAACUAUUUUGAAAACAGAAGAAGAUUGAACAUAUAUACAACAACUUGUCGAAACAUUCCUUAUAUGAAACUUUGGUGGUCAUUUAGUGCAUUGAAUGACUUAAUUGAAGGAAGGAGUUUUUUCAAAUGUACAACUUUUAAGUUUAAAAAUUUAGUGCAGAUUCAUUUUGGAUAUAAAGAAAAUGAAGCUGAUAUCAGUAUUUUUUCAAGUUGCAUUACCUGUGUGUUCUUUCCAUAUAAAUAUUAAAUGGCAUGUCAAUAUAUCUUAAAGAAGUAAAAAAAUAUCUCUAACAGUAAUUGCAUAUUCAUAACCACAACAAGAUUAUGUGGACUGCAAGAUAUCCUUCUGCAGCUCAGAAACUAACAACUGCAUGAUGUAAA